This 1224-nucleotide ribosomal RNA is filed under the name Enterobacter asburiae. RNAcentral describes it as "bacterial SSU rRNA". It matches the Rfam family "Bacterial small subunit ribosomal RNA", at positions 34 to 1259 of the family's 1533-position model. The record is from RNAcentral. Lineage: Bacteria; Pseudomonadati; Pseudomonadota; Gammaproteobacteria; Enterobacterales; Enterobacteriaceae.
CGUGGGCGGCAGCCUAACACAUGCAAGUCGAGCGGCAGCGGAAGUAGCUUGCUACUUUGCCGGCGAGCGGCGGACGGGUGAGUAAUGUCUGGGAAACUGCCUGAUGGAGGGGGAUAACUACUGGAAACGGUAGCUAAUACCGCAUAACGUCGCAAGACCAAAGAGGGGGACCUUCGGGCCUCUUGCCAUCAGAUGUGCCCAGAUGGGAUUAGCUAGUAGGUGGGGUAACGGCUCACCUAGGCGACGAUCCCUAGCUGGUCUGAGAGGAUGACCAGCCACACUGGAACUGAGACACGGUCCAGACUCCUACGGGAGGCAGCAGUGGGGAAUAUUGCACAAUGGGCGCAAGCCUGAUGCAGCCAUGCCGCGUGUAUGAAGAAGGCCUUCGGGUUGUAAAGUACUUUCAGCGGGGAGGAAGGCGUUGAGGUUAAUAACCUCAGCGAUUGACGUUACCCGCAGAAGAAGCACCGGCUAACUCCGUGCCAGCAGCCGCGGUAAUACGGAGGGUGCAAGCGUUAAUCGGAAUUACUGGGCGUAAAGCGCACGCAGGCGGUCUGUCAAGUCGGAUGUGAAAUCCCCGGGCUCAACCUGGGAACUGCAUUCGAAACUGGCAGGCUAGAGUCUUGUAGAGGGGGGUAGAAUUCCAGGUGUAGCGGUGAAAUGCGUAGAGAUCUGGAGGAAUACCGGUGGCGAAGGCGGCCCCCUGGACAAAGACUGACGCUCAGGUGCGAAAGCGUGGGGAGCAAACAGGAUUAGAUACCCUGGUAGUCCACGCCGUAAACGAUGUCGACUUGGAGGUUGUGCCCUUGAGGCGUGGCUUCCGGAGCUAACGCGUUAAGUCGACCGCCUGGGGAGUACGGCCGCAAGGUUAAAACUCAAAUGAAUUGACGGGGGGCCCGCACAAGCGGUGGAGCAUGUGGUUUAAUUCGAUGCAACGCGAGAACCUUACCUACUCUUGACAUCCAGAGAACUUAGCAGAGAUGCUUUGGUGCCUUCGGAACUCUGAGACAGUGCUGCAUGGCUGUCGUCAGCUCGUGUUGUGAAAUUGUUGGGUUUAAGUCCGCAACGAGCGCACCCUUUAUCCUUUUUGUUGCCAGCGUUAGCCGGACCUCAAGGAGACUGCAGUGAUAACUGGAGGAGGUGGGAUGACGUCAGUCAUCAUGGCUUACCGAGUAGCUUACAACGUGCUAACAAUGGCGCUCAUACAGGGAAGGCCUGUAUGCU